RNAcentral lists this unclassified non-coding RNA (378 nucleotides) under plant metagenome. RNAcentral's name for it is "partial contains 5.8S ribosomal RNA, internal transcribed spacer 2, and large subunit ribosomal RNA". The stretch from base 1 to 105 matches the Rfam family "5.8S ribosomal RNA", at positions 50 to 154 of the family's 154-position model. The record is from RNAcentral.
GAAAUGCGAUAAGUAAUGUGAAUUGCAGAAUUCAGUGAAUCAUCGAAUCUUUGAACGCACCUUGCGCUCCUUGGUAUUCCUUGGAGCGUGCCUGUUUGAGUAUCAUGAAAUCUUCAAAGUAAAUCUUUUGUUAACUCAAUUGGUUUCUACUUUGGUAUUGGAGGUCUUUGCAGCUUCACACCUGCUCCUCUUUGUUCAUUAGCUGGAUCUCAGUGUUAUGCUUGGUUCCACUCGGCGUGAUAAGUUAUCUAUCGCUGAGGACACUGUAAAAGGUGGCCAAGGUAAAUGCAGAUGAACCGCUUCUAAUAGUCCAUUGACUUGGACAAUACUUUUAUGAUCUGAUCUCAAAUCAGGUAGGACUACCCGCUGAACUUAAGC